GAGCCUCGGGCUCGAGCCUUUUGUCUCCCCGUAGCUCCGUGGGUCCGGAAGGCGACUGUGUCCGCCCCUCCCGCCCCUCCCAGAGCGCAGCCCGGCGGAAGUCUAGCCCUGGGGCCGGAGCCGGGUCCGCAGCGCGUCCGGGGUGAAUAAGGAGGAAGUCAUAGCAAUAACAGGACAACAAAGAGAAGCUGAUCAUGGAUUAUCUGACUAUUGAAGUUGAAGGAAAGCUGUGACUACUGAGGAUGCUUCUCUGCCCCAAAAACAGAGCACAGAAGAAGUGGAGCCUACCGUAGAGCCCCUUCCUGUUGAGUUCCAGG
This is a long non-coding RNA of Balaenoptera acutorostrata (minke whale), 317 nucleotides long. RefSeq lists it as uncharacterized. The record is from RefSeq and is a predicted model, not a curated record. The transcript is spliced from 3 exons. NCBI's taxonomy places the organism in Eukaryota, Metazoa, Chordata, Mammalia, Artiodactyla, Balaenopteridae.